UUCUAAAGGAGGGGCUUAAUAAAAACAGGAACUCAUUGGAGCGCUACAGAGAAGAUUCGCAUGGCCCAUGCGAAAGGAUUACAUACAAAUUUAUGAAGCAGUCGAUAUUAAACAUUUUU
RNAcentral lists this small nuclear RNA (119 nucleotides) under Carassius auratus (goldfish). The record is from RNAcentral. Lineage: Eukaryota; Metazoa; Chordata; Actinopteri; Cypriniformes; Cyprinidae.